AAGUCGUAACAAGGUAACCGUAGGGGAACCUGCGGUUGGAUCACCUCCUUACCUUAAAGAACCUGCCUUUGCAGUGCUCACACAGAUUGUCUGAUGAAUGAUGAACUUCUGAAUGUACUUUUGAGUGCAUUAAGAAGUUUUGCUCUUUAAAAAUCUGGAUCAAGCUGAAAAUUGAAACGACACACAUGUUAUGUGUGUUCGAGUCUCUCAAAUUUUCGCUAACCGAUGAUGAAUCGAAAGAAACAUCUUCGGGUUGUGAGGUUAAGCGACUAAGCGUACACGGUGGAUGCCCUGGCAGUCAGAGGCGAUGAAGGACGUGCUAAUCUGCGAAAAGCGCCGGCGAGGUGAUAUGAACCUUUGACCCGGCGAUUUCCGAAUGGGGAAACCCA
This 389-nucleotide unclassified non-coding RNA is filed under the name uncultured bacterium. RNAcentral's name for it is "partial 16S-23S ribosomal RNA intergenic spacer". The stretch from base 145 to 252 matches the Rfam family "Salmonella enterica Typhi npcRNA 44". The record is from RNAcentral.